GAAGUCAGGAAGCUUGUUCUUAGCUACCAAGGUCAAUUAGGAAUCGAACCACCUGCCACCAAAAGGCCUUCAAGCAUAAGUCUGAGGAUGUGCGUGUCCGCACGCCUAUUUUGGACUUUUGCACCUUUAUGGAAAGAGUCCUUCAGGGCAGGAGCUAUGUAAGAAAGUAUAUUUUUAAGGAGAUGAUAUGUAAUAUUAAAUAAAUGAUAGCAUCAUUACUUAAAUGCAAAUAGAGCAUUAAGGCUUUUGAAAUAACAUUUUCUAAUUCUUAGGUAAAGCAAACAGUAACAUUUGGCAACAUUUUAUUUAUCGUAAUGUGAUGGGAACCAUGAGAUACUUCACAGCCCCAUGAUUAGAUUUUUUCACAUGCGCACACACCAAAGUCCCUUAGGGGGUAAGAGAGAAUCUUCCCAUUUUCCAGAUAAGAAACCAAGACCCAGAACAGAUAAGUAAGUUGCUGUAAGAUCAGACACAGCAGCAAAGAGAGGACACAAAUGUGAAGCUGUCUGAUGCCAUGAACCACGGUGUGAAGCUGUCUGAUGCCAUGAACCACGGCUCUCACCGAUGCCUUCACACGAGAUAAAUACCAAGCAAGUAUCUUCGGAGGGAUUCUGGAGAACGCAGCUGCAGGAACCUCAAAGGCAAGCCCGGCUUGUGUCUUCUCAUAAUAGUGUUAGGUCCACAUCUGCCUGGCGCCAGUCAUAAUGUCACAGAAAUAUUCGGGGCAAGACAUAGAAUUUGUCUCCACCUAGAAAUUUAGGACAUCAUUUCACCAGCCCUCCAGCCCUCAGGCAGGAUCACACAGGCGUGUGUUGUAGAUGUGCCAUCCGCUUCUCUAAAGACCGACAGAAGCCCUUCCCUAACUUCUUUCAUUAACCAAUUUCUGUACUUAACAGCACUCAAUGCAGAGCAAUCUUUACAUCUAAAACUCUCUUCACGUCUUCCGUGUGCACAGAGAAAAGUGGACCUGCGUGUUUUUUCCGUAAUUCAUUUUCAAAGGUUAGAAAGCAGCCACAAAAUGCUCUUUCCUCACACAUAAUCCUGGUUCUUUCAGUCUUGUUGGUUAAGCCUUCCCAUUUGCAAACUUCAAUUAAUAUUUGUGGCUCUUUCCCCUGAGACUCCUCCAAGCUUUUGACAUCACUGCCAAAGCUGCACAAGCCAGAGCCAGACAGAAUGGUCCAAGCUCCACAGAUGGGUGUGGGGUUGGGCUUCGUGCUCAGGUAGAUCCUAUCAGGUUUCUUCACUUAACUAGAGCCUUUCUCUGCUGAGUCAUGAUGCCGCAGACCCUCUCAAAAUGUCACCCAGAGCUAUAGCAAAGUCCUUUUUCCCCCCAAUGUCCUCAUCAAAUUACAGUCUCAAAGCACCUGCUGUCAUAAACUGAAAGGGAUACUGAUGAUUAAGACUAGCAUCAAAUCCUGCAAUUUUAGUGCAAAUAAAUAUAGCAUUUCCAACUCGAAUUAGAGGGAUUGCAUAGCAAAUGUAUGUUUGAGGAAUGGGUGAAAUAAGCUCAUGUAACUUGAUGAGAAUAACUUAUUUGCACCCUCAUUUUGGACUAACUCCCCCAUGUAGUUCUAUCCUGCAGGGGUGGGUGGGCAGAAACCUGGAAGUGUCCCGUAGGAACCAGUGGGUAUUGUGUGGCGAUUCUGCCAUUUGAGGUUUUUAUGCUAAAUAUGUUUUGACCAGGGAAAGCCUUUCUCCAGAGCAGUCUUAAAACCCAAAGCUAUUUGUCUGAUCUUCCUGAAAUAACCAAGCAAUCUGCUUAGAAUUGGAGAGUCUAUAAGACCUAUAAAAUAACCUAGGAGUUCCCAUUGUGGCUCAGUGGAUUAAGAACCCAACUAGUAUCCAUGAGAACGUGGGUCUCCUCUCUGGCCUCACUCAUUGGGUUAAGGAUCCGGUGGUGCCACAAGCUGCAACGUAGGUUGCAGAUGUGAUUUGGAUCCUGCGUUACUAUGGCACAGGCCAGCAGCUGCACCUCUAACUUGAUUCUUAGUCUAGGAACUUCCACAUGCCACAGGUGUGGCCCUAAAAAGAAAAAAGAAAAGCCUAAACCUGCCCCUAAAACUGGAAUAAGGUGUCACCCUCUCCCCCAGGUCUUAGAUGGUCUUACCAGCCAAGUGCACAAGAAUGAGGAAUCUAGAGUCAAAUGCUCUAAGCUUAAAUUCCAGCUCCAUCGCUCAUGGAUGGUGUGACUUUGGAGAAGUGGUUGUAUCUCUGUGUCUCAGUGUUCUCAUCUUAAAUGGAGAGAAUCAUGCACCUUCUUCAUAGGGUGGUGUGAAGAUUAAGUAAAGCACUUAGAAGGGGGCGUGGCACACCGUGCAGCUCUCACUACCCACCAUCCUAAUAAAUGGCAAUCUAAGGUUAAGAAUCUCAAAGUACGAAAGGACGAGAAUCGCCAAAGGCAGGAAAUGAGGUACCUGUUGGUCACCAGGACAUCGUUACUCCCUCAUAUCUGAGAGAUGCAUUGAAAGUUCUUCCUUAGAUAAACUGUAUGGUAGGGGGGAAAGUGCGAAAACUGUGAAAUAGACCAAACACAUUGCCGGUUGUCUUCAAUAGAAAACUAGGUGUGGGAGUUCCCGUUGUGGCUCAGUGUUUAAUGAAUCGACUAGGAACCAUGAGGUUGUGGGAUCCAUCCCUGGCCUCGCUCAGCGGGUUAAGGAUCCGGCAUUGCCAUGAGCUGUGUUGUAGGUUGCAGACUCGACUCGGAUCCCUUGUUGCUGUGGCUGUGGCAAAGGUCGGUGGCUAUAGCUCUGAUUAGACCCCCUAGCCUGGGAACCUCCAUAUGCUGCAGAUGUGGCCCUAGAAAAGACAAAAAAAAAAUCCAAAAAACCCCCCAAAAACUAGGUGUUGUCUAAGCGUACCCUUUCACUUCUCUAAGUCGGUGGGAUCCCUGACACUUCACCGUUUUUGAAAUAGUCAUUGUUAAAAUAUUUCACAAACAUUUUGUGUCCAUAGACAGAUGCAAGUGAAUUGUGUCCCGUGAAUGUGCAAUUUAUUUCCCCUCCUCCCAUCCUCCUCAACAAGCCAGUUUCACAUCUAUUUAUAAAUUCAUUUAGCAUUAUUUUCUGCUUAUAUUUGUGGUUCUCAGCAUUCUCCUUUAGGAGUUCCCUUGUGGCGUAGCAGGUUAAGGAUCUGGUAUUGCAACAGCUUGGGUUAGUACUGUGGGCAUGAAUUCGAUCUCUGGCUGGGGAACCACAUGAGAAAAAAAGAAUUUUCCUUUGAACCAGUUGUAACAUCUUACUGGUUUCCUCAUUAAUUAAUUGAAUAAAAUCUUUGACAUGUAUUCAUAUCUAUAUGAGAGUCCUGACUAGACCCUAUUUUAAAAAUCAUCCAGUAACAACGUAUUCCUAAAUAAGCAUCCAUCCGGUCAUUCACUUACUCAUCGCAACCACCAAUUAAGCACCAAAAAUAAUUAUGUUGAAGUAUAUGCACGACACAGACACGAAUAAGCAUGGGCCUGCCCUCAAGAUGCGCACAACAAAUUAUGAGAUAAUCUAAGAUCACUGACAAGCACCAUGCAAAAGGAGAAUUGGGAAAGGGAGAUGGGAGACUCCAUGGAAUGAAGUUCCUGGUCAUGUCCAACAAGGGAAGGUGUUGUGGGUUACAUGCCAGGUUCUGUCUGACCCAAGCAGUGUAUGCAGUAGAGAGGCAGGAGGCGGGGCUGGAAAAGAGAGUCAGGAAGCAUCAUGCAGAACCUUGAACACCAUGCUGAAAAGGCAGAAGGGAGCCACCGAAGGUUCCUUAGCAGGAGGAGCAUGCUGUUCAAGCCCUAGAAUGGGUCCCUCCCCUCCAGACGGAGGCUAGUUUAGAGCAGCGGACGAGAUUCCAGGGAGAAGAGUUAGGAGUCACUGUGAUGGUCCAGGAACAACCAGUAGUAAUGGCCAGGACCAGAGAGACCACAUAGGGAACUGGAAGGGCACGGUUUAAUCACCACCCUCUCCACCCUGGUGUCCCACCCUGCAGCCAGAGACGCUGAAAUUUCUGCAAAGUCAUUUUCUCUCCCCACCGGUGGCUUUCCAGUGACAGCAAUGCCAUGCUCUUCUGCGAUGCCCUAUAUUUCCAUGCCGACCCUUCAGCUACUGCUGUCUGGCCUCCUUCUCCAAAGGGCAGGACCUUCACGCUCCCUGAGCCCCCCAGGGGGGUCGGACACCCACUGCUUCUCAGUGAGUGCUAUUAAAUGGCAUUCAACUCUCUGGUCCAGCACAUCAGUAAAGUGUUUCUAUUUGACCUACAGAGACGGCACAUUCUAGGUCAGCAGAAUGCUCUUCUGUGCCGUUAGGACAUGACUAACUGCCUUAAUCAAGAAAAUAAGCUCCUCAUCAGUGGUAUUUUGCAGGUACAGGUGCAGAGACUUGGGCAGCGGUGGCAGCAGAGUGCACUCGGGCACCAUGGCAACCAGGGCGACAGCCCGGUUACGCUCCGCAGUGUGGAAACAGUCAGCUCUUCAUUCGUUUCAGCUGACAACAAAAAACGAGAGGCGUUUUGUCCUGCCUUGUCUUCUCAGAUGUUUGGCAGGUCCCAGGUUCGCGAGGAUACUGGUCUUUAUGUCCAGGGGAACUUAGGACCGGGGCUGCAGCCCAGAUCCACCCAAAAUGCUUCGGGUCCCUCUGCAGAGGUUGCCUUCUACCUGUGCUCUCCGCAGGGGCUGGCUGGGCGUGUGUGCAGGCUGCGUGGUUUUUGUUUUUGUUUUUUCUUUUCCAUGUGCUGCUUUAACCUGAUUUAAAAUCACUUGCCAGACACCUUGCCCCAGCUGUGCAGUCUCACCAUUUUUAUGGGCUUAUGAAAUAAGGUGCAUUCUGUGGCUAUUAUUGUAAUCUUUGUGUAAGAAAUAUCUAAUGUACCAAAUUGCAUCCUUUUCAGGGGUGUUCCGCAAAAGGUGGAAACUCAACUAAAACCAUCUGAAGCCAAACUGGGCAUGUAAAGGCUUUAUAUAAUAGGACAGUCCAAGGUAGAGUUGACUUUAGGGGUUCAAAUAAUAUGGUUCUAUUCUCUCUCUCCUUCCCUCCCCCCAGUAUUCAGCUUAAGUCCCUCCUAUUCCUUAUGGUCUGUACAAGUGCAGGGCCUGGCCAUAGGCAGCUCUAGACUGAGAGCCCCAGCGAUGCCAUAGCAACAGGAGAGCAUCUUUCUGCCAGUGUGCCCACAGAAAAAUCCCAGGGAAUAACUCUGAUUGGGCUGUCCUGGGUCACAUGUCCAUAUCCAGUGGGAACCAUGAGUGACCAAGUCAGGUGCCUACCGCUGUGACCAGAGGAGUGGGUAUGGUAAUUAUCAGACCCAGAAAGGCAAGGAAAAGAACGCUUACAAGAAGGGAGAUAAAAGAUGGUGACCACACCAAAACAACAGACCAAGCUAAAAAUAUAGGUU
Molecule: long non-coding RNA, 5358 nt
Filed under: Sus scrofa (pig)
Lineage: Eukaryota; Metazoa; Chordata; Mammalia; Artiodactyla; Suidae
Description: lncRNA (ENSSSCG00000052670.1)
Source: RNAcentral